This 593-nucleotide ribosomal RNA is filed under the name Ascomycota sp. RNAcentral's name for it is "eukaryotic LSU rRNA". The stretch from base 208 to 361 matches the Rfam family "5.8S ribosomal RNA". Lineage: Eukaryota; Fungi; Ascomycota. The record is from RNAcentral.
GAGGAAGUAAAAGUCGUAACAAGGUCUCCGUUGGUGAACCAGCGGAGGGAUCAUUACAGAGUGUAAAAACUCCCAAACCCUUUGUGAACAUACCACUGUUGCCUCGGCGGAGCUGCCCGGUAGCUACCCUGUAGCUACCCUGCAGCCGCCGGUGGACCAUCAAACUCUGAUUAUAUAGAUAUCUGAGCGUACUUUUAAAUAAGUCAAAACUUUCAACAACGGAUCUCUUGGUUCUGGCAUCGAUGAAGAACGCAGCGAAAUGCGAUAAGUAAUGUGAAUUGCAGAAUUCAGUGAAUCAUCGAAUCUUUGAACGCACAUUGCGCCCAUUAGUACUCUAGUGGGCAUGCCUGUUCGAGCGUCAUUACGACCCUUAAGCCUAGCUUAGUAUUGGGAACCUACGUGCGGCAGCUACCCUGUAGCUACCCUGUAGCUCCUUAAAGACAACGGCGGAGACGUGGAGUCCUCUGAGCUUAGUAACUUUUCUAGCUUCUGAAGGCGCCGCGGCCCCUGCCGUAAAACCCCCAACUCUUUAGUGGUUGACCUCGGAUCAGGUAGGAAUACCCGCUGAACUUAAGCAUAUCAAUAAGCGGAGG